GCAGCCCACUCCUGGCAGACACAGUUUCCACAUGAUCUAUUUUUCAGCCCAGAAUUGACGCAGCAGCCAGAGCUACCGCCUGGGCUGUGUCAGGCUUGCAAACCUCUUGGGCUCGCUCAGGGCAGAACCUGCUGGAAGGGCCGGGAAGAGCUGGGACCUGGAACCUGGAACCAAGCCAUCCCUGGGGCCAGAGAGGAGGCCACACAGGGCAGAGGGCACAGCCAGGCCGGCACGCUGGUGAGUUCUUCCAGAAGGAGGGAGAAGCAGUGGCCAACAAGCCCUGGAGACUAUUCCAGCCCCUGGCGUCGUGGGAACUGCCAAGGGGACCAUCGAUGUGGCAGCUGCCCAGGCCUGCGCGGAUGGCAGGGAGAUUCUGGCCCCCACCCCCACAGCACGGCAUCUGGCUGGCUCUGUGGGAACGUGGAGGUGGCGCAGGAGGGGAGUCCACACCCUGCUCUUUGUUCUCUAGGCUGUGCGUGCGUGCCUGCUUGUGUGUGUGUGUGUGUGUGUGUGUGUGUGUAUGUGUGCACUGGGGAAGGGCCUGGGAGACAGGGGCCAGGCCAGCCACGCAUCUUUCUGAAAGAAUAUAUUCAUGCUGCAGCGAAAGACAGUGAUCGGAGCGUGACCCCCAGCUCUGGGGACCUUCCUGACUCCUGUGAAGACCAGAUUCUCUUCCAGAAAGAGGGAGGGGAGCGGGCGCGGUCGAGGAGAGACCCGCGUCGCGUGGGAAAGAGAACUCAGACUCGGGAGUAGCUGGGGGACCUCAGUGAAGGCAGUUUUCUCUUCUCUCCAGGGGGACUGGUCAAAUCUGCCCUAUCAAACAGGCACAGGAUUCAAAUGCCAGCUGUGAGUGUUUACGUCCCCUUGUUGCCAGCCCUGAAGAUACAGUCCCAGGGCGCAUCGACAUUUCCAGAGCACUGCCACAGCCUCGCUUCAUUGUGGUUUUUCGUUUCAUUGUCACAAGGAGUGACGAUGUCAUUGACUACUAUUCGGAAAAAGAGAAUGUGUCUAAGGCUCCAUGUUCCUCAGCCACGUUUCUCGGCCACAGGAUCAACCUUCGCAUCCCUUCUCCUCCCCAUUUUCCGUGCUUCUGCUGCAAGGGCUUUCCUUUUCCUAAGAACACACUCUGACCUGGCAUAGAGCCUCCUUAGACCUUAAACAAGACAAAUCCUUCCGCCAUAAAAACUCACCACCAACUCCUUGAAGUUUAUGAGGAAACUGUCUCAAGGAGAUAUACCAGAGUGAGCUGCAGAUUUUUAGGAAAGAAGGAGAUGAUGGAAUUUCAUCCGGGAACCACACGUCCAAGAGUCAGACAGCACUGCACCAGGCAACCUGCGUGGUGAUUAACACGUAGAGACAAUGCAAAACAUGGGCAGUUUUAUUAUUAAAUUUAUAUCUUCCAGCGUAGCUGGAAGGGCAAGGAUAAGAUGCACAUGGAUAACCUAAAGCAGCACACAUCGAGAGGACCUCAGCGAGAGGGACAGGGUGUGAUGAGGUCACAGAACAAAGAGCUAGUCCCCUCCUGCGGCAAUAAGAUGAGUACCCAAUGUCCCUUCUCCAGUGUGGGAGAGACCAGGGCCGGAUCAAGAGAAGGGAGAAAACUGUAGGAAGCCGGUGAUCAAGGCAGAAAAGCAAGCUCUGACCAGGAUGGCUUGGAUCCUAAUUUGUAUGCUGAUUGCUGCAGUCCGUUUCCAUUCUGGUCCUGUAUUUAUUUACUGUAUUUGCAUUUACCUGGGUAAGGCAACUCUGCAAUACAGGGCAUGCAAUGAUUUUGUCUAGUGAGCUAAGCAGCCUUAACAGAAUGUUGUAAAAGUGCUGAAUUCUAAGUUCAGAAGUCUAGAUAAUCAUUGGCAAAAGCUGCCCAAUAAUGUCACCAAUAAACCAUAUGACUCACACA
RNAcentral lists this long non-coding RNA (1897 nucleotides) under Sus scrofa (pig). RNAcentral's name for it is "lncRNA (ENSSSCG00040013196.1)". Lineage: Eukaryota; Metazoa; Chordata; Mammalia; Artiodactyla; Suidae. The record is from RNAcentral.